UUGUGUGAGAGAUAAAGUGAGGCAGCUACCCAAGGCCCCAUGAAUUAACAUUAUAAAAUAUGUAAUAACUUCUUUUGCAUUUCCCAAACUUAGAAGGUAUUAAAAUAAUACUGUUCCAUGAAUUCUGAUUCCUAAGCCAGUUCAUGAUAAACUAAAAUCUUCAUUGGUCUGUCAUGUUUUCAUCGUUAUUCAUUAUUACUACAUCCAAAUUACUUCAAGGUUUCAAACCCUAUAUUUACCACUUAACCUGGCAACAGAGAGGCACAACAAUGUUGCCAACAAAGUAACCAUAUUCUUACAGAAACCAAAAGUAGUAGUUUUCAGACAAACAUAUAAACUAGUACAUUGAAAUCUGUUUUCUGUCUGUUAAGAAGAGAUUCGAUGUACUUUAUAUAAAAACUGCAGUUACAGCUCUUACUCAGUGGAUCUUUAAUUCUUGAAAGACCUUGGCCACCUCAGAUGUGUGAGGCUUCUUAACCUAUUCAGACAUUUGACAGGACUCCAUGGACGAGUGAUCAGCCCGUCGCAAGGCCCCUACCUACACAGGACAGAGAUGCAGACAGAUAUCUGUGUCUUGGGUGGGAUUCAAACCCACGAUCCCAGUGUCUGAGCAAUGAUCAUCUAUGCCCCAGACUAUGUUGCUGUCGUAACCCGCACAAUUAACAUAAGUCAGUGCCAGCCGUUUCUGGGCUCCGAGCCUCCAGGCACGGCUGCUUGGCCUUAUAAGGACAAACACGGAGUUCGCUCGGCCUACGCGGGGCACUGACCUUCGAACACCUGACAGAAGACCGUGGCUACGUUUGCAAGACACGAGUGAGUUCAACUUGCACUCAACGACUCUGUGAACUAACUUUACAUAGGGAAGAAAUGGAUCGACAAACGGGAAUGUGUUUUAAAAAAACAUGAAAGAGAAACAAAGAAUCGUGGCCGCGAACCAUCAGUAAUACAGAACAUGAUGUACGCCCGGGCUAAUCGUCCAUGUUAACGGUGUUAGCCGGGCUAAGACGGCUAACUUUGGAAAAACUAAAAUAGAAAGUCGUCUCUCCUACUUUUGUGGCUCGGUGCUACCUGGGCAGAGCUGGCUAACAAUACAUUUUAUUUAAAUGGUUCCGCUGUGUUCCAAUCAAUUUCCGUCCCACUAAACCACGAAAGUAAGAUAGAAGACUUUUUCUUUGAUUUUCAGUGUUGUCUGUACUGACAUGAUAGAUAUGGAACAUCAGAAUAUAACGAAAAUGAGACAUGGCAAAAAUAAUGUUACAGGAAAAUAAACACAUGGGAAGAACAUGACAAAG
Molecule: non-coding RNA, 1292 nt
Organism: Zootermopsis nevadensis
Lineage: Eukaryota; Metazoa; Arthropoda; Insecta; Blattodea; Termopsidae
Source: RefSeq, a predicted model, not a curated record